AUUGAACGCUGGCGGCAUGCCUUACACAUGCAAGUCGAACGGCAGCACGGGAGCAAUCCUGGUGGCGAGUGGCGAACGGGUGAGUAAUACAUCGGAACGUGCCCAGUAGUGGGGGAUAACCCGGCGAAAGCCGGACUAAUACCGCAUACGACCUACGGGUGAAAGCGGGGGAUCGCAAGACCUCGCGCUAUCGGAGCGGCCGAUGUCAGAUUAGCUAGUUGGUGGGGUAAAGGCCUACCAAGGCGACGAUCUGUAGCUGGUCUGAGAGGGCGACCAGCCACACUGGGACUGAGACACGGCCCAGACUCCUACGGGAGGCAGCAGUGGGGAAUUUUGGACAAUGGGCGCAAGCCUGAUCCAGCCAUGCCGCGUGCGGGAAGAAGGCCUUCGGGUUGUAAACCGCUUUUGUCAGGGAAGAAACGCUCCGGGCUAAUACCACGGAGUAAUGACGGUACCUGAAGAAUAAGCACCGGCUAACUACGUG
RNAcentral lists this ribosomal RNA (484 nucleotides) under uncultured bacterium. RNAcentral's name for it is "partial 16S ribosomal RNA". It matches the Rfam family "Bacterial small subunit ribosomal RNA", at positions 29 to 507 of the family's 1533-position model. The record is from RNAcentral.